AUACGGAGGAUGCGAGCGUUAUCCGGAUUUAUCAGGUUUAAAGGGUGUGUAGGCGGUAUUUUAAGUCAGUGGUGAAAUCUCGGAGCUUAACUUCGAAACUGCCAUUGAUACUGGAAUACUUGAGUAUAGUUGAGGUAGGCGGAAUAUGUAAUGUAGCGGUGAAAUGCAUAGAUAUUACAUAGAACACCGAUUGCGAAGGCAGCUUACUAAACUAUUACUGACGCUGAUGCACGAAAGCGUGGGGAGCGAACAGGAUUAGAUACCCUAGUAGUCC
Molecule: ribosomal RNA, 274 nt
Filed under: uncultured bacterium
Lineage: Bacteria
Description: partial 16S ribosomal RNA
Rfam family: Bacterial small subunit ribosomal RNA
Source: RNAcentral